CAAAAACAAACCUGGUGUGGUAACAAAUUGACAAAUCAGCCAGGAGCUAAGUCCAGAUGGACCUUUUUGCCCGAGAUCCGUCAACCCCUUGCCAGUGUGGAGGACCUGUGGCCAAGUCCAGCAGCUGCCAGGAGCAUUUCUCCUGGGACCAUUCUGGGCUUCUUCCCUGGCUUGGCACUGCCGACUCCUUGGCGCAUAUUUUCACUUUGCAAUAGAGAGACAGUUUCUUGGUUUGGAACGUGUCUUUUUGCAGGACACAUUUGGAAACAUUGGUUACCUUACCAAGACUUUGACUGGAAUGUCAUAUUUGAGAGAAACAUGCAGAUUCAGAUAUGACAAGACAGCUUUUGAGGAAUAAGUGUUGACUUUCUGAAUAAAGCCAUUUGGAAAUAUUGGCCUGGUACCUUGUUUACAUGAAUUCCAGCAAUCUUACCCACUAAGUAAGUAGGAUCACUUACCUGGCAGGCACCUGGAAUCUUGAAAUAUUUUGGGAGACCUAGAGAAGAGAGGAAUCUACCCAAAGCUGUGGGUAUUGCAGGCAAAAUCUGAUGACAAGUCUUUGACUUGGCUUUCCUAGCCUGGAGAAGCCUUUAAAGUUCAAUCUAAGAUUCCUCAUAAAAAGUUCCAGCUAAGCAGAUUUGAAAAAACCUGUAUAAUC
This 658-nucleotide long non-coding RNA is filed under the name Equus asinus (donkey). RNAcentral describes it as "lncRNA (ENSEASG00005029772.1)". Lineage: Eukaryota; Metazoa; Chordata; Mammalia; Perissodactyla; Equidae. The record is from RNAcentral.